Homo sapiens (human) is the source of this 397-nucleotide long non-coding RNA. The record is from Ensembl. Lineage: Eukaryota; Metazoa; Chordata; Mammalia; Primates; Hominidae.
GUCCUCGUGGGCACUUCACCCUGCUCUGCAGCCACACUCACACCCUAGAUCCAGGUCACACUAGGUAUGAUUUGCUUCUCCUGGCCUUUCCUCUCACCAGCCCCGCUAUCACCUCAUUUAGAAGAGGCAAAGACCCCACUGGCUCGGACUUCACCAACCUGGAGCAGGGGAGAGAAGCUAAGUUCUGACCUUUGAUCAGAAGAUGGGGAAGCCACACUCAACACGUCACUGCCUUGGGAGGUGGAUUUGGGGAUGGUGGGUCCUGGGGAAAAACGGGCUUUUGGUGUGGAAAUGACAUCUUUCCUGUUUCCGACCUCUGCCUGCCUCAUGCCAGGUGAGACACCUUCAUGCCUGUUUCCAUGAUUGAGAACAUGGGAGUACGCUUCUUUCCACCUAC